Molecule: ribosomal RNA, 465 nt
Filed under: uncultured bacterium
Lineage: Bacteria
Description: partial 16S ribosomal RNA
Rfam family: Bacterial small subunit ribosomal RNA
Source: RNAcentral
GACGAACGCUGGCGGCGUGCUUAACACAUGCAAGUCGAACGGAAAGGCCCUGCUUGCAGGGUACUCGAGUGGCGAACGGGCGAGUAACACGUGGGUGAUCUGCCCUGCACUUCGGGAUAAGCCUUGGAAACUGGGUCUAAUACCGGAUAGGAGCCAUUUUUAGCGUGAUGGUUGGAAAGUUUUUUCGGUGUAGGAUGAGCUCGCGGCCUAUCAGCUUGUUGGUGGGGUAAUGGCCUACCAAGGCGGCGACGGGUAGCCGGCCUGAGGGGGUGGACGGCCACAUUGAGACUGAGAUGCGGCCCAGACUCCGACGGGAGGAAGCAGUGGGGAAGAUUGCACAAUGGGCGCAAGCCUGAUGCAGCGACGCCGCGGGGGGGAUGACGGCCUUCGGGUUGUAAACUCCUUUCGCUAGGGACGAAGCUUUUUGUGACGGUACCUAGAGAAGAAGCACCGGCUAACUACGUG